This 228-nucleotide ribosomal RNA is filed under the name uncultured bacterium. Its description in RNAcentral is "partial 16S ribosomal RNA". It matches the Rfam family "Bacterial small subunit ribosomal RNA", at positions 122 to 334 of the family's 1533-position model. The record is from RNAcentral.
UGACCUGCCUCAGAGUGGGGGAGUAACGACCCGAAAGGGUCGCUAAUACCGCAUAACAUCCUGCGCUUGGAUGCGCGGAGAUCAAAGCCGGGGAUUCGCAAGAACCUGGCGCUUGGAGAGGGGCCCGCGGCCGAUUAGCUAGUUGGUGAGGUAACGGCUCACCAAGGCGACGAUCGGUAUCCGGCCUGAGAGGGCGGACGGACACACUGGGACUGAGACACGGCCCAG